This 254-nucleotide long non-coding RNA is filed under the name Malus domestica (apple). RNAcentral describes it as "long non-coding RNA (MDOM_LNC009479)". Lineage: Eukaryota; Viridiplantae; Streptophyta; Magnoliopsida; Rosales; Rosaceae. The record is from RNAcentral.
GGGACCCAACUACUUGGUAAUGAGGGAAGUUGGGUUUAGAUGAGGGACUAUUAAGUUUCAUAAAACUUAAGGUAAAUUUGUUAAGAAUGCAUGACUAGCUGCUAUACAUACGAUAGAACUUUAAAAUAGUAGUCAUUUUGAUUUUUGAAAGUCCUCGUUUAGUGUUUUGAGUAGUUCAAAGUUUGAUUGCAGUAUUUUUUAAGAAUCUCAAAAUUUCUUGGGCCUCCAAACAUAGCAUAAAAAAAUUUCACAAC